CCUAACUAUAAAUGGGUGUGGAAAGCCCCCAUCCCGCUGAAAAUCAAAAAAAAAAUGUGGCAGCUUUUUCAGAAUGUUGUGCUUACAAGAGAUAAUCUACGCAUUAGGAAGUGGCCUGGGAACCCUACAUGCUCUUUUUGUACAAGUGUGGAAACAACGAACCACUUGUUCUUUACUUGCCCGCUUGCCCGUACGGUUUGGGGCGUGAUGGGGAUGACAGUUGGAUCCUCUUGCUGUCCUCGAUCGCUUUGGCAAAGUUGGGCUUGGCUAUAUAAGUUCUUUUCAGGAGGAAAGCAGUUCUAUAUGAUGAUUAUUGCUGCCAUAUGCUGGGGGAUUUGGAACCUGCACAAUAAAGUUACUUUUGAUAAACAUGUUGCUCGCACUCCUCUGGAGGCUGUUUUCACUGCAUGUUCGUUUAUGUUAUAUUGGGCAGGUUUGCUUAAAGGAGAAGACAAGGUGAAGCUCCAGGCUAUUGGCUCAUGCGGCUGCUACCCUGGCGGACAGAUCCUUCCCUCGUGGCAGACUCCCAUUAGGAGACAAUGA
Molecule: ribosomal RNA, 543 nt
Filed under: Triticum aestivum (bread wheat)
Lineage: Eukaryota; Viridiplantae; Streptophyta; Magnoliopsida; Poales; Poaceae
Description: partial small subunit ribosomal RNA
Source: RNAcentral